ACGCUCGACACCUACGGGGGGCAGCAGUGGGGAAGUAUUGCACAAUGGGGGAAACCCGUGAUGCAGCGACGCCGCGUGGAGGAAGAAGGUCUUCGGAUUGUAAACUCCUGUUGUUGGGGAAAAAGAGGAUGGUACCCAACAAGGAAGUGACGGCUAACUACGUGUCAGCAGCCGCGGUAAUCUGAGCGGGCUGGCAAGGC
RNAcentral lists this ribosomal RNA (200 nucleotides) under uncultured bacterium. Its description in RNAcentral is "partial 16S ribosomal RNA". It matches the Rfam family "Bacterial small subunit ribosomal RNA", at positions 328 to 539 of the family's 1533-position model. The record is from RNAcentral.